Molecule: ribosomal RNA, 528 nt
Filed under: uncultured bacterium
Lineage: Bacteria
Description: bacterial SSU rRNA
Rfam family: Bacterial small subunit ribosomal RNA
Source: RNAcentral
UGGGGAAUAUUGCGCAAUGGGCGAAAGCCUGACGCAGCGACGCCGCGUGCGGGAUGAAGGCCUUCGGGUUGUAAACCGCUUUCAGCAGGGACGAAGCGAAAGUGACGGUACCUGCAGAAGAAGCGCCGGCUAACUACGUGCCAGCAGCCGCGGUAACACGUAGGGCGCAAGCGUUGUCCGGAAUUAUUGGGCGUAAAGAGCUCGUAGGUGGUCCGCUGCGUCCGCUGUGAAAAUCCAGGGCUUAACCCUGGACUUGCAGUGGAUACGGGCGAACUAGAGGUAGGUAGGGGAGAAUGGAAUUCCCGGUGUAGCGGUGAAAUGCGCAGAUAUCGGGAGGAACACCGGUGGCGAAGGCGGUUCUCUGGGCCUUACCUGACACUGAGGAGCGAAAGCGUGGGGAGCGAACAGGAUUAGAUACCCUGGUAGUCCACGCCGUAAACGUUGGGCGCUAGGUGUAGGGUCCUUCCACGGAUUCCGUGCCGCAGCUAACGCAUUAAGCGCCCCGCCUGGGGAGUACGGCCGCAAGGC